Molecule: ribosomal RNA, 513 nt
Filed under: uncultured bacterium
Lineage: Bacteria
Description: partial 16S ribosomal RNA
Rfam family: Bacterial small subunit ribosomal RNA
Source: RNAcentral
GACGAACGCUGGCGGCGUGCUUAACACAUGCAAGUCGAACGAAAAGAGGGAAAGAGCUUGCUCUUUCCGGAAUUGAGUGGCAAACGGGUGAGUAACACGUAAACAACCUGCCUUCAGGAUGGGGACAACAGACGGAAACGACUGCUAAUACCGAAUAAGUUCCAAGAGCCGCAUGGCCCAUGGAAGAAAAGGUGGCCUCUACCUGUAAGCUAUCGCCUGAAGAGGGGUUUGCGUCUGAUUAGCUGGUUGGAGGGGUAACGGCCCACCAAGGCGACGAUCAGUAGCCGGUCUGAGAGGAUAAACGGCCACACUGGACCUGAGACACGGUCCAGACUCCUACGGGAGGCAGCAGUGGGGAAUCUUCCGCAAUGGGCGAAAGCCUGACGGAGCAACGCCGCGUGAGUGAUGACGGCCUUCGGGUUGUAAAACUCUGUGAUCCGGGACGAAAAGGCAGAGUGCGAAGAACAAACUGCAUUGACGGUACCGGAAAAGCAAGCCACGGCUAACUACGUG